This is a long non-coding RNA of Nerophis ophidion (straightnose pipefish), 1518 nucleotides long. RefSeq lists it as uncharacterized. The record is from RefSeq and is a predicted model, not a curated record. The transcript has 3 exons. NCBI's taxonomy places the organism in Eukaryota, Metazoa, Chordata, Actinopteri, Syngnathiformes, Syngnathidae.
UAAUCACACAGGCUUUACUAAACUGUGUGUUUCAGUCCUCCUCACUCACUAUAAAUGCAAUGCAUGCACACCUAUCGAGAGACACGCUAGUAUGCUACAUUAGCUUAAAAACGUCAGCAGGACAAAGCUUUGAACUAUAUCCACCCCAAGAAAGCUGAAGAACAUGGGAACAUUUUGGGUGUUAAAAAAUUACAAGGGAGUAAUUGAAGGCGUUGGCUUACCUAUUUUGCAAAUCCUGCCAAAAGAAAGUUGCAGCUAAAAGAUCUAAUACAUCCAAUAUUUUGCAGCUUUACACACCAAAGUAAAGGUAAUACAAAGUAGACUUUGCAGGUAGUUGCAAUUCCAAGACAUUAGAUGGCAGUACUGUGUAAACUACGGUGUGUCUCCGAGGGUCGCAGGGGUGCUGGUGCGUAUCCCAGCUACAAUCGGGCGGAAGGCGGCGUACACCCUGGACAAGUCGCCACCUCAUCGAAGGGCCAACACAGAUAGACGGACAACAUUCACAAUCACAUUCACACACUAGGGCCAAUUUAGUGUUGCCAAUCAACCUAUCCCCAGUUGCAUGUUUUUGGAAGUGGGAGGAAGCCGGAGUGACCGGAGGGAACCCACGCAUUCACGGGGAGGACAUGCAAACUCCACACGGAGAGAUCCUGACUACUCAGGACCUUCGUGUUGUGAGGCAGACGCACUAACCCCUCUGCCGCCUACCGUAUUUUUCGGACUAUAAGUCGCAAUUUUUUUCAUUGUUUAGCAGGGUUGCGACUUACACUCAGGAGCGACUUAAUAAUUUCACACAUAACACAUUACCGUAAAAUAUCAAAUAAUAUUAUUUAGCUCAUUAACAUAAGAGACUAGACGUAUAGGAUUUCAUGGGAUUUAGCUAUUAGGAGUGACAGAUUGUUUGGUAAACGUAUAGCAUGUUCUAUGUUAUAGUUAUUUGAAUGACUCUUACCAUAAUAUGUUACGUUAACAUAGCAGGCACCUUCUCAGUUGGUUAUUUAUGCGUCAUAUAACGUACACUUAUUUAGCCUGUUGUUCACUAUUCUUUAUUUAUUUUAAAUUGCCUUUCAAAUGUCUAUUCUUGGUGUUGGAUUUUAUCAAAUACAUUUCCCCCAAAAAUGUGACUUAUACUCCAGUGCGACUUAUAUAUGUUUUUUUCCUUCUUUUUUAUGCAUUUUCAGCAGUUGCGACUUAUACUCCGAAAAAUACGGUACAUGCAAAUUUACAUGUAAAUGUGUUAUACAUGUAUAGCGCUUUUCUGCCUUUUUUUAAGGACCCAAAGCCGUUUGACACUAUUUCCACAUUCACCCAUUCACACACACUCACACACUGAUGGCGGGAGCUGCCAUGCAAAGCGCUAACCAGGGCCCAUCAUGAGCAAGGGUUAAGUGUCUUGCUCAAAGACACAACAGACGUGACUAGGAUGGUAGAAGGUGGGGAUUGAACCCAACAUAGCCUUAUGUUGCACUGUAAAAAGUGUUUAUACUACAUCUGUCUUGAAUAAAAUACUUCUGUUAA